UACGGGAGGCAGCAGUGGGGAAUAUUGCACAAUGGGCGCAAGCCUGAUGCAGCCAUGCCGCGUGUAUGAAAAAGGCCUUCGGGUUGUAAAGUACUUUCAGUCGUGAGGAAGGUGUUAAGGUUAAUAACCUUAGCAAUUGACGUUAGCGACAGAAGAAGCACCGGCUAACUCCGUGCCAGCAGCCGCGGUAAUACGGAGGGUGCGAGCGUUAAUCGGAAUUACUGGGCGUAAAGGGCACGCAGGCGGUUAAUUAAGUUGGAUGUGAAAUCCCCGGGCUUAACCUGGGAAUGGCAUUCAAGACUGGUUAGCUAGAGUCUUGUAGAGGGGGUAGAAUUCCAUGUGUAGCGGUGAAAUGCGUAGAGAUGUGGAGGAAUACCGGUGGCGAAGGCGGCCCCUGGACAAAGACUGACGCUCAUGUGCGAAAGCGUGGGGAGCAAACG
RNAcentral lists this ribosomal RNA (440 nucleotides) under uncultured bacterium. RNAcentral's name for it is "bacterial SSU rRNA". It matches the Rfam family "Bacterial small subunit ribosomal RNA", at positions 340 to 774 of the family's 1533-position model. The record is from RNAcentral.